RNAcentral lists this ribosomal RNA (332 nucleotides) under uncultured eukaryote. Its description in RNAcentral is "bacterial SSU rRNA". It matches the Rfam family "Eukaryotic small subunit ribosomal RNA", at positions 594 to 945 of the family's 1831-position model. The record is from RNAcentral.
AUAGCGUAUAUUUAAGUUGUUGCAGUUAAAAAGCUCGUAGUUGAACUUCUGGCAGUCUUUGAUUUUGGCUUCGGUCGAGUUAAAGGUUGUCAUCCGUCUGUAAACCAUUUUCGGCCUUCACUGGUCGGCUUGGGGAGCAGACAUUUUACUUUGAAAAAAUUAGAGUGUUUCAGGCAGGCAUUUGCCCGAAUACAUUAGCAUGGAAUAAUGGAAUAGGACUUAGUCUAUUUGGUUGGUUAUUGGAUUGAGUAAUGAUUAAUAGGGACAGUCGGGGGCAUCUGGAUUUAAUAGUCAGAGGUGGAAUUCUUGGAUUUAUUAAAGACAAACUUAUG